GACGAACGCUGGCGGCGUGCUUAACACAUGCAAGUCGAACGGAAAGGCCCUGCUUUUGUGGGGUGCUCGAGUGGCGAACGGGUGAGUAACACGUGAGUAACCUGCCCUUGACUUUGGGAUAACUUCAGGAAACUGGGGCUAAUACCGGAUAGGAGCUCCUGCUGCAUGGUGGGGGUUGGAAAGUUUCGGCGGUUGGGGAUGGACUCGCGGCUUAUCAGCUUGUUGGUGGGGUAGUGGCUUACCAAGGCUUUGACGGGUAGCCGGCCUGAGAGGGUGACCGGCCACAUUGGGACUGAGGUACGGGCCAGACUCCUACGGGAGGCAGCAGGGGGGAAUAUUGCACAAUGGGCGGAAGCCUGAUGCAGCAACGCCGCGUGCGGGAUGACGGCCUUCGGGUUGUAAACCGCUUUCGCCUGGGACGAAGCGUGAGUGACGGUAAUGGGUAAAGAAGCACCGGCUAACUACGUG
RNAcentral lists this ribosomal RNA (468 nucleotides) under uncultured bacterium. RNAcentral describes it as "partial 16S ribosomal RNA". It matches the Rfam family "Bacterial small subunit ribosomal RNA", at positions 28 to 507 of the family's 1533-position model. The record is from RNAcentral.